Molecule: ribosomal RNA, 259 nt
Filed under: uncultured Oscillibacter sp.
Lineage: Bacteria; Bacillati; Bacillota; Clostridia; Eubacteriales; Oscillospiraceae
Description: partial 16S ribosomal RNA
Rfam family: Bacterial small subunit ribosomal RNA
Source: RNAcentral
UUGAAGCAGAGGACAGUGGCGGACGGGUGAGUAACGCGUGAGGAACCUGCCUUUCAGAGGGGGACAACAGUUGGAAACGACUGCUAAUACCGCAUGACGCAUUUUGAUCGCAUGGCACUUAUGUCAAAGAUUUAUCGCUGAAAGAUGGCCUCGCGUCUGAUUAGCUAGUUGGUGAGGUAACGGCCCACCAAGGCGACGAUCAGUAGCCGGACUGAGAGGUUGAACGGCCACAUUGGGACUGAGAUACGGCCCAGACUCC